This 71-nucleotide transfer RNA is filed under the name Stegodyphus mimosarum. It matches the Rfam family "tRNA". Rfam says of the family: Transfer RNA (tRNA) molecules are approximately 80 nucleotides in length. Their secondary structure includes four short double-helical elements and three loops (D, anti-codon, and T loops). The record is from Rfam by way of RNAcentral. Lineage: Eukaryota; Metazoa; Arthropoda; Arachnida; Araneae; Eresidae.
GCCUUCGUGGUGUAAUGGUAGCACACUCGGCGCGUAUUCGAGAUAUACAGGUUCGAAUCCCAGCGAAGGCG